UCCUACAGUACCGUCAGCCCCCGACACGUCGGGGGAGUUCUUCCUGCAGAAAAGCAGUUUACAACCCAUAGGGCCGUCAAUCCUGCACGCGGCAUGGCUGGGUCAGACUUGCGUCCAUUGCCCAAUAUUCCCU
This 133-nucleotide ribosomal RNA is filed under the name uncultured bacterium. RNAcentral's name for it is "partial 16S ribosomal RNA". The record is from RNAcentral.